Molecule: small RNA, 517 nt
Filed under: Malus domestica (apple)
Lineage: Eukaryota; Viridiplantae; Streptophyta; Magnoliopsida; Rosales; Rosaceae
Description: sRNA MD15G0243800
Source: RNAcentral
UUUCAGAUUCAACCACUUUAAUCACGCCGCCACCAUCACCAACUGCUUAAUUUCGUCCCUAUAUGUCUUCUAGACCCUGAGACGAGGACAGAAAGCGGUUUAGAACUUAACCCGAGGGCGGGGCUCAUGACCUCUGUUCGAACUCUGAGGUUUUCCUGAAAAAUUCCGCCAUACACAGCCAAGAUCCAACUCGGCAAGCAUUUCCCUAGUUUUUCCGGCGAAACCCGUGACCUUCUAAGCCGUUUCCAGCCAACUCUAGCCACGGUUGGGAACCAAAAUGGAAAUUUGAUGUCUCCUCAGUUAAGAGUUUUUGUUUUUUUGUUUGAAAUUCUUUGUAUAUUUAUGCACAUAAAUUCAUAAGUUUGAGCUAUACUUUGGGAGUACAAGCUUGAUGGAACUCUGCUUGUGGGAAUGAUGAUUUAGUUGUGGAGCAACGAAGAUGGGAUGAACAAAGCUUUCUGAGGAAGAUGCAAUUGUGCAGUAAUGAUUAUUUUGGAGUGUUUAAAUUUAUGGAUAA